Molecule: unclassified non-coding RNA, 200 nt
Filed under: Psathyrella sp.
Lineage: Eukaryota; Fungi; Basidiomycota; Agaricomycetes; Agaricales; Psathyrellaceae
Description: partial internal transcribed spacer 2
Source: RNAcentral
UUAAGUUCAGCGGGUAGUCCUACCUGAUUUGAGGUCAAAUUGUCAAGAAUUGUCCUUGCAGACGGUUAGAAGCAAGUCUAAGUCCAAUCCACGGCGUAGAUAAUUAUCACACCAAUAGACGGAGCUCAGGUUGAACUCGCUAAUUCAUUUAAGGGGAGCAGACCACCGAAGCAUUCUGCACAACCCCCACAUCCAAGCUU